GACGAACGCUGGCGGCGUGCUUAACACAUGCAAGUCGAACGGAAAGGCCCUGCUUUUGUGGGGUGCUCGAGUGGCGAACGGGUGAGUAACACGUGAGUAACCUGCCCUUGACUUUGGGAUAACUUCAGGAAACUGGGGCUAAUACCGGAUAGGAGCUCCUGCUGCAUGGUGGGGGUUGGAAAGUUUCGGCGGUUGGGGAUGGACUCGCGGCUUAUCAGCUUGUUGGUGGGGUAGUGGCUUACCAAGGCUUUGACGGGUAGCCGGCCUGAGAGGGUGACCGGCGCGAGGAGCGCGCGGCAGCCGGCCAACACCAGGGGGCGGGCAGUGGUGGGGAAUGAACCACGGGGGGGGGAAGCGGGGUGUAGCGACGGCGUGAGGGUGAGCACGCCCCGGGGGUGGUAUACCGCGGGGGCGGGUGGCGAGGGGUGGGGGGCGGUAAGGGGUAAAGAAGCACGGGUUAGCGACGGGCGAGCGGAGGGAAAGUAAGCGGAAGAGCACACGUCGGACCU
Molecule: ribosomal RNA, 509 nt
Filed under: uncultured bacterium
Lineage: Bacteria
Description: partial 16S ribosomal RNA
Rfam family: Bacterial small subunit ribosomal RNA (bases 21-328)
Source: RNAcentral